This 457-nucleotide long non-coding RNA is filed under the name Mustela putorius furo (domestic ferret). RNAcentral describes it as "lncRNA (ENSMPUG00000025259.1)". The record is from RNAcentral. Lineage: Eukaryota; Metazoa; Chordata; Mammalia; Carnivora; Mustelidae.
GGAGUAAGGAAAAGAGCUCCCGGGACACCCUGAGUCAAGCCUUGGACAGACUGGAGUGCACAUUUUAGGGGCCCUAGGAGCCUCCCUAGGCAUGACUUCCAAAUUGAAAAAAAAAAAAAAAAAAAAAAAACCUGUGAAAGAAAAUUUUGCUUUGAAAAAUGAUGCAAAGUCGAUAUACCGAAAUGAAAUGAGCUUCCUUCCUAAUAGUCUGACUCUCUCUUUCUUUUUGUCCUUGGUGCCCUCAGCAGCCCCCCAUCCUGUAUCUUUUGGAGAAGCCAGCGCCAACUUCUGGAGCUUUUCCCUGGACCUCUCGAGGUCCAGUCUUGCUGUCGUCCAGCUCUACGGGAAGGCACACCAGGAGGAGGUGGAACAGAAGUUAAACAAGCCAGUGGACAGCACAGGGACAAAAUGUCUGGAAGUGGUACAGGUUACCUGGUGCGGAGAGAUCCAGUCAAGC